This 497-nucleotide ribosomal RNA is filed under the name uncultured bacterium. RNAcentral's name for it is "partial 16S ribosomal RNA". The stretch from base 16 to 379 matches the Rfam family "Bacterial small subunit ribosomal RNA", at positions 43 to 396 of the family's 1533-position model. The record is from RNAcentral.
GAUGAACGCUGGCGGCGUGCCUAAUACAUGCAAGUCGAGCGAACGGACGAGAAGCUUGCUUCUCUGAUGUUAGCGGCGGACGGGUGAGUAACACGUGGAUAACCUACCUAUAAGACUGGGAUAACUUCGGGAAACCGGAGCUAAUACCGGAUAAUAUUUUGAACCGCAUGGUUCAAAAGUGAAAGACGGUCUUGCUGUCACUUAUAGAUGGAUCCGCGCUGCAUUAGCUAGUUGGUAAGGUAACGGCUUACCAAGGCAACGAUGCAUAGCCGACCUGAGAGAGAGGGUAGCCAGAAGAGGAAGGAGAGACGGUAGAGACGACUGCGGGAGGCAGCAGUGGGGCAUAUGUGGCAAUGGUCGAAAGGUUGACAGAGAAAUGAAUAGGGGAAGAAGAAGGUCGUCGGAGAGUAGAACACUGUAAUGAGGUAAGAACCAGAAUGUAAUGAAGUAUGCCCCGACUGCCGGGAGGUAAUAAGAAAACAACGAAUAAGAACGUG